UGCAAACUGGGCACGAUGCCAAGAACUCGCCGGCUCAUUCUGUACAUUUCAGUGGCCUGAAGGCGGCUGGGAGAACCCUUCCCUCCCUUACCACAUCCGAGUUGAUUGCAAGAAAUGUAACAGAGAGAUUUUGGAAGUUGGUCAUCUUCCAUUGUAUUUAUGUGCAGGAAUGAUGAAGAUGCCCAAUAUCAUAGAGCCUUAACCGUAAGUUCUUGUUAGCUAGUUUAGUCCUUGAGUUUUAUUUGUCUCUCACAUAUCUCUGAUUUUGCUAAGCAAAAUGCAUAAGAAGGGGAGGGAAACCAAUCACUGAUGAAGGAGAAGAAAUGGCAGUGGUGGAGAUAGAGGUUGUUGGCCCUUUUCAUGUGCUGUGCACAAGAAGAUCAAGCUGUUCUACUUUUGGUGGAUGUGCAGAAAGGAUGAUGGCAGUGGAGAACUUGUGGGGCCUUUUUCUUUGGGAAAAAGUGGAGAAUGUGCAUUUAGGGUUUUAGGCGACAAAUCGGAUGAUGAAGGUGAAAUUUUGGAAAUCAAAGGGAUCAAAGGAUGGUUCCAGGUAACGCGCCAUGGGAAGAAGAGGUGGAGGACUCUGGAUCAAGGAGGCUUCCAGGACUUCCUGGGCUUCCGAUUCUGAUCCAAGUUCGGAGGAUUCAGAUGAUUAAUUCAGGUGCAUUGAUACAUGCUUUAAGAUGGCUGUAAAUAUAUAUAUAGUCAGGAUCUUGUGACCUAUGCUUUUUUGACACUUACUUUGUAAUGUAUUACAACGAUCUGAACCAUCUAUAUUUUAGUACAUUAUUCAUAGAUCA
Molecule: long non-coding RNA, 800 nt
Organism: Pyrus x bretschneideri (Chinese white pear)
Lineage: Eukaryota; Viridiplantae; Streptophyta; Magnoliopsida; Rosales; Rosaceae
Exons: 2
Source: RefSeq, a predicted model, not a curated record